GAAACUUGCCCCGAGAUGAGUUCUCCCUGAGACUUAGAGUCUCCUGAAGGAACGUUGAAGACGACGACGUUGAUAGGCCGGGUGUGUAAGCGCAGCGAUGCGUUGAGCUAACCGGUACUAAUGAACCGUGAGGCUUAACCUUAC
Molecule: ribosomal RNA, 144 nt
Filed under: Salmonella enterica subsp. enterica serovar Agona str. SA-2
Lineage: Bacteria; Pseudomonadati; Pseudomonadota; Gammaproteobacteria; Enterobacterales; Enterobacteriaceae
Also listed under: 1 other name
Description: partial 23S ribosomal RNA
Rfam family: Bacterial large subunit ribosomal RNA
Source: RNAcentral